RNAcentral lists this ribosomal RNA (722 nucleotides) under Comamonas thiooxydans. RNAcentral describes it as "partial 16S rRNA". The record is from RNAcentral. Lineage: Bacteria; Pseudomonadati; Pseudomonadota; Betaproteobacteria; Burkholderiales; Comamonadaceae.
UGAGCGUCAGUGCAGGCCCAGGGGAUUGCCUUCGCCAUCGGUGUUCCUCCGCAUAUCUACGCAUUUCACUGCUACACGCGGAAUUCCAUCCCCCUCUGCCGCACUCUAGCCUUGCAGUCACAAUGGCAGUUCCCAGGUUGAGCCCGGGGAUUUCACCACUGUCUUACAAAACCGCCUGCGCACGCUUUACGCCCAGUAAUUCCGAUUAACGCUUGCACCCUACGUAUUACCGCGGCUGCUGGCACGUAGUUAGCCGGUGCUUAUUCUUACGGUACCGUCAUGACCCGGGGAUAUUAGCCCCAGGCUUUUCGUUCCGUACAAAAGCAGUUUACAACCCGAGGGCCUUCAUCCUGCACGCGGCAUUGCUGGAUCAGGCUUUCGCCCAUUGUCCAAAAUUCCCCACUGCUGCCUCCCGUAGGAGUCUGGGCCGUGUCUCAGUCCCAGUGUGGCUGGUCGUCCUCUCAGACCAGCUACAGAUCGCAGGCUUGGUAAGCCUUUACCCCACCAACUACCUAAUCUGCCAUCAGCCGCUCUAGUAGCACAAGGCCCGAAGGUCCCCUGCUUUCAUCCGUAGAUCUCAUGCGGUAUUAGCUACUCUUUCGAGUAGUUAUCCCCCACUACUAGGCACGUUCCGAUGUAUUACUCACCCGUUCGCCACUCGUCAGCAUCCGAAGACCUGUUACCGUUCGACUUGCAUGUGUAAAGCAUGCCGCCAGCGUUCA